Molecule: ribosomal RNA, 621 nt
Filed under: uncultured bacterium
Lineage: Bacteria
Description: bacterial SSU rRNA
Rfam family: Bacterial small subunit ribosomal RNA
Source: RNAcentral
GCCUAGCUUGCUAAGCUUGUUUUUAGUGGCGCACGGGUGAGUAACACGUGAGUUACCUGCCCCCAAGAGUGGGAUAGCCCCGGGAAACUGGGAUUAAUACCGCAUAAUAUCGCAAGAUUAAAGGUGCAAACCGCUUGGGGAUGGGCUCGCGGCCUAUUAGUUAGUUGGUGAGGUAACGGCUCACCAAGGCGAUGACGAGUAGCCGGUCUGAGAGGAUGUCCGGCCACACUGGAACUGAGACACGGUCCAGACACCUACGGGUGGCAGCAGUCGAGAAUCAUUCACAAUGGGGGAAACCCUGAUGGUGCGACGCCGCGUGGGGGAGCGAAGGUCUUCGGAUUGUAAACCCCUGUCAAGUGGGAGCAAAUUAAAAGAUAGUACCACUAGAGGAAGAGACGGCUAACUCUGUGCCAGCAGCCGCGGUAAUACAGAGGUCUCGAGCGUUGUUCGGAAUCACUGGGCGUAAAGCGUACGUAGGCGGCUUGGUAAGUCGUGUGUGAAAGGCAGGGGCUCAACCUCUGGACUGCACAUGAUACUGCCAGGCUAGAGUAAUGGAGGGGAAACCGGAAUUCUCGGUGUAGCAGUGAAAUGCGUAGAUAUCGAGAGGAACACUCGUGGCGA